RNAcentral lists this ribosomal RNA (452 nucleotides) under Centrolene sp. EVACC024-12. Its description in RNAcentral is "partial 16S ribosomal RNA". It matches the Rfam family "Bacterial large subunit ribosomal RNA", at positions 1943 to 2545 of the family's 2925-position model. The record is from RNAcentral. Lineage: Eukaryota; Metazoa; Chordata; Amphibia; Anura; Centrolenidae.
UAACCGUGCGAAGGUAGCGUAAUCACUUGUUCUUUAAAUAAGGACUAGUAUGAAUGGCAUCACGAAGGUUAUACUGUCUCCUCUUUUUAAUCAGUGAAACUAAUCUUCCCGUGAAGAAGCGGGAAUUAAACUAUAAGACGAGAAGACCCUAUGGAGCUUUAAACCAUGUAGCACUUGCACCCACCUAGCACAAAUUUCAGAAAAAUAUAUUUUACCAAUGCAAGAUUACUACAAGUUUUAGGUUGGGGUGACCGCGGAGCAAAAAGAAACCUCCACAUUGAAAGGAACCCACUCCUUAGCUAAGAGUCACACCUCUAUGCAUCAUAACAAUGACAUUAAUUGACCCAAUAUUUUGAUCAACGAACCAAGUUACCCUAGGGAUAACAGCGCAAUCCACUUUAAGAGCUCCUAUCGACAAGUGGGUUUACGACCUCGAUGUUGGAUCAGGGUAU